AAGCAAUUGUUUUACUUACAGUCUGGAGAA
RNAcentral lists this unclassified non-coding RNA (30 nucleotides) under Mus musculus (house mouse). RNAcentral's name for it is "partial derived from hnRNA or mRNA fragment, or novel small non-messenger RNA without known sequence-or structural motifs". The record is from RNAcentral. Lineage: Eukaryota; Metazoa; Chordata; Mammalia; Rodentia; Muridae.